UACGUAGGGUGCGAGCGUUAAUCGGAAUUACUGGGCGUAAAGCGUGCGCAGGCGGUUCGUUGUGUCGGUGGUGAAAGCCCCGGGCUUAACCUGGGAAUGGCCAUGGAAACUGGCGGGCUGGAGUGCGGCAGAGGGGGGUGGAAUUCCACGUGUAGCAGUGAAAUGCGUAGAGAUGUGGAGGAACACCGAUGGCGAAGGCAGCCCCCUGGGCCGACACUGACGCUCAGGCACGAAAGCGUGGGGAGCAAACAGG
RNAcentral lists this ribosomal RNA (253 nucleotides) under uncultured bacterium. Its description in RNAcentral is "partial 16S ribosomal RNA". It matches the Rfam family "Bacterial small subunit ribosomal RNA", at positions 524 to 776 of the family's 1533-position model. The record is from RNAcentral.